UUAGAAAAGAAUUGAUAACCCAUAGUUCACCCAGAGACAACCACUGUCAGCGUCUUAGGGUGUUUCUUUCCAGUCUUUUUUCCAGAAGUCAUUUUCAUUUGUUUGAUGUAAUCAAAUCACUAUUUUUUUAAUGCAAUUUUGUUUAAAAAAAAAAAAGCUAUAUUUAAUAGACUAGUUUUUCGGGGGGAGGGGUUAUUUGUUUUUAAUUUUUCUUGGCGUAUAGUUGAUUUACAAUGUUGUGUUAGUUUCAGGCGUACAGCACGCUAGUUUUAAACGCAGAUAUGCAAAGAGAGAUCCAAAGAGCUGCAGUGAUUUUUCUCUCCCUAGUGGUAGAGCACUUCACUGAGGUUAAAGUUCUACGAUCCACAGCUGAUCAUCAAGUGACCUUUCUGUUAAGGUGAGUUUCUUUCUCCUCGUUCUGCCCGCGAAGGACCCACAGGGUGGCAUGAGGGGCCUGGAGACUUGCCGCAGGGCACGUUUCCGUGAGGAUGGGAUGGGGGCUGGAACGCAGGCCCCCUGCCUUGGCCCGGAGGUCUGUCCAGUGCAUUCUGCUGACUCACAAGGUCCCUCUCCCCCAGUCCUUCCUGAUGCAUUUGACUCACUUCCUGUGCUCUCCUUCCUGUUUACUGCCCAAGUGGGAGAAGACACAGGCCCAGACAUCACGGGAGGGCCCAGGCUCCCAGGACGGCUCAGUCCACAUCCGUCCCCUCCCCUCGGCCGCCCUUUCCUUUCCUGCUCCCGUCUCCCCUCUGCAGUUUUCCAAGGCCACUCGGGUCCUCUGGGGCGGGCCAGUGGCAGGCUCGGGACGAGGGCAGACAGAAGUGAACAGCCCCCUGGGCCCGGCUUGGAGCCAGCAGACGUUGGCCAGGGACCCGUACAGCCCAUAAGAUGGGGUUGGCCACAAGGACGAGGAGCAGAGGCAGGUAUGUGGUGACGUAGUGGGGGAUGGCACGCUCCAGACCCCUCUCACACCUGAGGGAGGAAAGCCGGUCAUUCUCGAAGAAAACCCGGGGCUCUGCCUGAGACUCGCCGACUCAUCUGGAAGUCGAGAUAAGAGGACCAGAUCGAAGAGGGAAACACACAGAUCGACUUCUGACUCUGCCCGAAGGCAACCUGACUCAUAGCUCACGUCUGCGGACAAGCGAUAAAUCACCGAAGAAGGAAGGUAGAUCCGUCAUGGUUCUGUUUGUCUCGUCAGUCAGGGCGCUUUUGAAGUUCCCUGCUGGGGAACGGUGAAGAGGGGAAAAGGCUCCCUGGGGCGGUGGAUGCCCCCCCGCCAACUCCCCCGCUGGCUCUCUCAGACAAGUGGGUCUCUCCCUACUUGUCUUGCAAACAAGACCACGGCAUUCGAGGAGCCAGCUGGGUUUUCAGCAGUUACUACGCAUGUGCGAAGCCUGGCUGACAUCACGAAUAAGAUCCAGGCUCUGUCCUCGGCCAACUCAAAAUACCCAAGCCUCACACCGCACAGGAUACCUGUCGUCAUGGUGACAGAUAAUCAUUUCAGUGGUUCUUUUCAGGGAGAAAGAAGGACCAGGAUUUCUACCGAUGGGUCUCGAGGAUCAUCCGUCACCACAGGACACGGUGGAGUGCCUCACACAGGUUAUGUUACCGAGGUCGGGGCUAUCGGUUAACAAACGCAUAGUGCAGAGGCAAAUGGCAAAGGGGAAGAGGGACUCCAAGGCAAAGGGGAUGUUGCCCAGGCCCGACCCCAGGGGGGUGGAAAAGCAGAGGAGGGAACAGCUCCUGUGGCCACGGGAGGUAGGAUGAAGAAAAUGCCAGCGCGCUCUCGUUUUCAUAUGCAUGAAGGUACUCACACCAGAGGGGGAAAGUGGCUGAAGAUGCAUGGAGACAGAAGCUUUCCUCUUCAGCUGUGAAAGCUAAACUGUGGUCUGGAAGGGCUUGAGGGGAGAAAGGGAAACAAGAGGAGGAAGACAUGAGAUUCGGACGCCCGUACUGAACGUAAGGAACAAAGGAGAGAGGCGGGGAGCCUGCAGAGCGCCAAGGGCUCUGGGUCGUCGUGGGCUCUGAGGAUGGACAUGAGGAAGGAUGGAGAUGCUUCGGGGGGCGGCGGGGGGGCGGCCUCGUGGGGACCGCGGGGCACCUUGGCGUUCCUGAGUGCCCUGCGGCAAUGCCUCCCUCGCGCUGGGACGCGACGUCCCCAGGAUCUCACAGGUGGAGGCCAGAGAUAAAAACUCCCUUUCCAAUUAGGCGCCUCCCUCUGUAACAGCUGCUAACUCUGUAUUUGUCCUUUUAGGGUUCCUGGGGAGAGUGGGCGGUUUGGAGGGGUCUACACAGAGGCCUGGGAGUAGUACUGCCAACAAAGCAACACCAGCGUGCAGACAUCUGAGUGAGUGGCUACAAGAAAUCGAAAAAGAAGGGGCAGAAACGGUCUGCACCACAGGUCAGCAAACUUUUUCUGUAAAGGAGCAGAUAGUCAAUAUUUUAGCCUUCAGAACCCUCACAGCCUCUGUCAAAACGACUCAGCUCUAAUGUGUAAGGCGGCCAUAGACCAUACAUACACAAAUGGGCACGGCUGUGUGCCAGUAAAGCUUUAUUUACAAAAGCAGGCAGAGGGCCGGAUCUGUCCCGAGGGCUGUGCUGUGCUGAUGCCGGGUGUACACCGCCCUGAAGUCACAGACAAAGAGACAACGUCCAACCUCUGUUCUUCAGCUUUCCAUUGAAAAUUAGAGUAUGUAUCCUUGGAGGGACCUUGAGGCUUUACAAAUGGUUGCACUGAUGGGGUUUUAAACUUGAAGAAAUGCCUGAGACAAUUUCAGAGGCCACAUCGCCCAGUGUCUGUGUGUUCAGAACAGCACAGGAUGGAGAGAGGUGAGAAGGUGCAGA
Long non-coding RNA from Physeter macrocephalus (sperm whale), 2844 nucleotides. RefSeq lists it as uncharacterized. The transcript has 3 exons. The record is from RefSeq and is a predicted model, not a curated record. NCBI's taxonomy places the organism in Eukaryota, Metazoa, Chordata, Mammalia, Artiodactyla, Physeteridae.